CUGCAGGCACAAAUGAGCUUGGUUUUCAAGCACCAGUCUUUGAACACAAGGAAUUCUUUUAAUGAUCACGCCGGACUAUAUAGACUUUGGAAUCAGACUCUUUGAAUUCCAGCUCUGCCAUUUACCAACUUUGACACUUUGGGGUUUUGGAAAUCUGGAUUGUAGCGGGGCAUUGUAUGUUAAAAAAUCAUCUUCCCAUUCUGAUCUUUGCAAAGAUAUUUCUGUUCCUUAAAUUUGUUGAGGGUAAGACAUUGCAGAUUGCUUCUAUGGACUUCUUGAAGGUAAGUAUUAUCUCUUGAUAUUUGUAUCUUCAGUGUCUGGCACAAUGCUUGGGGGUGAGGAAGAACUCAAUAAAUGUUUGUUGGAUGAAUAAGUAAUAUUUGUGAAAGUGUUUUGUAGACUAUGAAACUGCACAAAUGAAAGAUCACAAGGAUGAUUGCUUAUGAAGCCCAGAAAUUGAAGUGGAACUCCUUUCUUAAUGUAACACACACAUACACAUUACACACAUUUUUUUUUCCUUGAAUAGUGGCUGCAUUUUUUUUAAUGGAACACUGGGCUACUUUUAAAUAUUGAAAUCAAAAUGUACGUGCCCACUUUUUAUUAGCAGUUGCUCCAUUUGCUCUUCCAGCUUUGGCUGGAAAACAUUUAUUUGUAUACUUAGUAUCUCUGUCCUUGGUUACCCCCAUCCCUGCCUUCUCACCCAUCUUUAGUCUGCCAUAUGGUCUUGACAUAGAUUUUCAACUGUUAGACUGUCAGGUUUUCAAGGAUGCAUUUUAA
Molecule: long non-coding RNA, 777 nt
Filed under: Pongo abelii (Sumatran orangutan)
Lineage: Eukaryota; Metazoa; Chordata; Mammalia; Primates; Hominidae
Description: lincRNA
Source: RNAcentral